ACAUCCAAGGAAGGCAGCAGGCGCGCAAAUUACCCAAUCUUGCAUCAAGGAGGUAGUAAAGAGAAUUAACAAUGAUAGACCCUCAGUGGUUUGUCAGUUGGAAUGAGGUGGAUCCAAACCAACCAGCGAGAAUCAAUUGGAGGGCAAGUCUGGUGCCAGCAGCCGCGGUAAUUCCAGCUCCAAUAGCGUAUACUAACGUUGCUGUAGUUAAAAAGCUCGUAGUUAAGUUUCCACACCCACUGGUUUCCUUACCAUCUUGGUAUUUUUAUUUUCUGGGUGUGAUCCUUUGGAUUUUGGUGUAUUGCAUUGAUUUGUAGUGCACUGAUUGUCCAUCAGUUACUGUGAAGAAAUUAGAGCGUUCAAUGCAGGUCAAUUUCAGUGAAUGUAUUAGCAUGGAAUAACACAUCAAAUUUUGGUUCACAAUUUGUUGGUUUGUGCACGAUGUUGAGCUUGAUAGGGACAGUUGGGGGUAUUUGUAAUUUGAAGUCAGAGGUGAAAUUCUUGAAUCUCUGAAAGACAUACAACUGCCAAUGCAUUUACCAAGGAUGUCCUCACUAAUCAAGAACGAAAGUUAGGGGAUCAAAGAUGAUUAGAUACCGUCGUAGUCCUAACCAUAAACCAUGCCAACACAGGAUUAGCAGAACAUUCACAAGGUCGCUGCUAGCACUGUACGAGAAAUUUCAAGUCUUUGGGUUCU
Molecule: ribosomal RNA, 697 nt
Filed under: uncultured diatom
Lineage: Eukaryota; Bacillariophyta
Description: SSU rRNA
Rfam family: Eukaryotic small subunit ribosomal RNA
Source: RNAcentral